GCUAGUUCAGUUGGUAGAACUUCUGACUCUUGAUCACAGGGUUGUGAGUUCAAGCCCCACAUUGAGCA
RNAcentral lists this transfer RNA (68 nucleotides) under Felis catus (domestic cat). It matches the Rfam family "tRNA". Rfam says of the family: Transfer RNA (tRNA) molecules are approximately 80 nucleotides in length. Their secondary structure includes four short double-helical elements and three loops (D, anti-codon, and T loops). Further hydrogen bonds mediate the characteristic L-shaped molecular structure. tRNAs have two regions of fundamental functional importance: the anti-codon, which is responsible for specific mRNA codon recognition, and the 3' end, to which the tRNAs corresponding amino acid is attached (by aminoacyl-tRNA synthetases). tRNAs cope with the degeneracy of the genetic code in two manners: having more than one tRNA (with a specific anti-codon) for a particular amino acid; and 'wobble' base-pairing, i.e. permitting non-standard base-pairing at the 3rd anti-codon position. Lineage: Eukaryota; Metazoa; Chordata; Mammalia; Carnivora; Felidae. The record is from Rfam by way of RNAcentral.